Long non-coding RNA from Tupaia belangeri chinensis (Chinese tree shrew), 787 nucleotides. RefSeq lists it as uncharacterized. The transcript is spliced from 2 exons. The record is from RefSeq and is a predicted model, not a curated record. NCBI's taxonomy places the organism in Eukaryota, Metazoa, Chordata, Mammalia, Scandentia, Tupaiidae.
AUGUGCCCUACAACAAACUUUAAAAAGAAGAAGAAGAAGAGGCCGAUGUUAUAUAAGAUUUAUCAGAGAAUACCGUUCAUUUACUCAAUCCCCAAAUUCAUCCUGGUAGUCUAAGGGGGCCUAAGUAAGUAUGCAUGGAGAAGCCAAUGUAAACCACAGCCAUUUCUAGCAAAAUCUAAGUACAUGCCCCGGUAGUAGGUGGCAGCGUUGUCUUCACACGUGUAUGAAGAAGCAGCAGAGCAGUAUUCAAGCAGUAAGUAUUUAUUGAAUGCCAAUAAUACUACUAGGGGAGCUGAAGUACACUUUGAAUUAGACAAUGCCACUAAACUUGAAUUUACAAUCAAGCUUACAUACAAGACUAACAGAUGACAAAAAAAUACAUACAAAUAUGUAUAAAAGUACAUUAAGAAAAUAGGUUCCUAACGUAAACAGAAUACCUAAAACAAAGAUUAAAAGUUAUUCAUGCCUUUCUAAAAGAGGAAUACUGACCUAGAAUUUAAAGAAACAGAAGAAUGUAGCUGGUAAAGAGAACACAGGCAUUUCAUUCACUCAGAAGAAGAUAAAUAAAAGCUUAAAAGAGAAAUUCAACUCCCAAAAAAGAGAAGGGGUAAGAAGUUUAGCAGUUGUGAUAAAAAGAUACAGAGACAGGUUUAAGAAAACAAAACUGGUAGGGCAAAAAUGUCCAUUACCUUCCUCAUCAUAAUUAGACAUGUCAUCUGCAAUCAUUGUACUGAAGUCUAAAAGAAGAUUCCAAGUAUCUUUCGGUAUUGAUCGUUUAUGAUGUUCC